Molecule: long non-coding RNA, 2146 nt
Organism: Zingiber officinale
Lineage: Eukaryota; Viridiplantae; Streptophyta; Magnoliopsida; Zingiberales; Zingiberaceae
Exons: 3
Source: RefSeq, a predicted model, not a curated record
AUUUAUUUGUUACAAGUCCUUCACUCAACCUUAAAUCAUGAGCAUGAAACAAAAUUUUGGUUUAGAUUAAAACAUGAAAUUCUUCCCAGUUACAUUCUACAUGGCUUGAGCUUGCCAUUUUAUAUUAUAGAAAACCAGCUUAUUUGAUACAUGAUUUCUCCCAAAAUUUAGUUUCAUAUAUUUCCAUCUCCAAGUCCAAAUCAAUUUGUUGGAGCUGUGAUGAGAUGCUGUUUGUCAAAAAUGGUCUUUCUUGCUAUUUUAAUCAUUCUCCUCCAUAUUCAACUUCUCCUGUAUCCAAGCUGCAAAAGAAAACCAGUAAAGUAUAAGCAAAACUGUUCAGUUCACUAAACUCAAGUAGAAGAAAUGAUUAUCCUAAUUUACAACAAUGAUGAUGAUACUAGGUAAACUGUGCGGCCAGUUCUAAUUUAUAGUUGAUCAAAGCUGAUUCAGAUAGAUCUUUGGAAUUAAAAAUUAGGUCACUUACCUUUCCAGAGUAGCAUCUUGCAGGUAAUCAUCAACAUGGAAAUAAUCAUCCAAGUGUUGUUGAAAUAAGGAAUUCUCCUUUGCAUUCUCUCCAACACUGCCAUUUAACCAAUAUGGCAUGUCUAAGGCCUCAUCAAAGGCAUAGAUCCAAUCUCCAUUGGCUCCACCAUGACCCUCACCCACACCACUUUCCAUGUUCUUCAAGAACUUACUCCACCAUGCUGAUGUUGCCAAGUUCAUUUUAUCAUUCCAUUCUAUAUCAUGUUGUUCUCCAAUGGAUUGAAUUUCAGCCAUCUCCUCAUCAUCCAUUGCCUGGUGCAGUGAGACCGAUGAAGGAUCGAAUGCAACUUGUGACGGUUGCUGAGAACUGGCUGGCCCUUGGAUGCCUGACAUUGCAUUAGAAGUAGAGUUUGAAUAAGAUGACAACAAAACUUGUGAUGAUGAUGAUGUCGAUGAUGAUGAUGGCUCAACAGGAUUUUGCUCGUGAAUGUCGUGAUAAAUGGAUGUAUCAAUAUUUUGGAAACUUUGGAGAUUGAGAUUGAGGCCUAAUGGCUGAUCGGGCAAUUGGAAGUUGAGUUGAUCAAAGAUUGAUUCAGUAGGUGCAAUGGAUGGAUAAGUCCAAGAGAAGGGGGAAGAAAAGUCGAUGGGUGAGAAUUGAGAAGGAUGAAAGUAGUUAGUUAAGUUGUGGUCGGAAUGAUGGUCUAUGGAGUUUCUUAUAGAAUCCACCACCAGCUCAUGGGAUGUCCCUUGCAAAGUCGAUGCCGUCGCCAUGCUUUGGAGUUCGUUGGCUUGCUUCAUGGAAGCUCUAUGCAAUUUGAGGGCAGCUACAAUCUCUCUUCUCGCUUCUGCCAUAUUGAACAAUCUUUCCUGGUAAGGCCUAGUCGUGUGGAGUCUUCUUCUCACUUGUUUCUUCAGUGGUAGUGACUUCGGUGAUCCUGACUGUGACUUAUUGAGGAGAUUUAUGUCUUUGCCAUCUUCAAGCUCCAUUUUUGCUGGACCUCUAGACCUCGAAUAACUGAGUCUUUUGACAAGACUGCGAAUGUAUGCACCAGAAACAUGAGCUUCUUCUUGGUCAUUUGGUUUCCUCUCAACAUCCCUACUGAAUUGCUCGGAACAGGAGAUGCUUCUCAUAUCUCUCUCUCUCUUGGAAGAUAAACUACAAUCACUUUUCUAAUUCUGGAAGACAAGUACAUAAACGGCCUUCUGGGUUGCUUUAAAUAGUAGAAAGCAUCGUAGCAUCUCCCAAUUUUUUCCGAAUUUCGCAAGAAAACAAAAUAUUUCUGAUCUCCUAUAUGCUUUGGCAGUUGAGGUAAUCUUUGGCUCGUGAUCGGAAGAAACUACCAGAUGCCAUUUUUUUUUUCAAGAUUACCAAGUCAUUCACUGUGGAUUUUGAAUGGGACCACAUCAUUUAAUCAAGCUCACAGAAGUCUACAGCUACAUAACGAUGAAGUUUGGUAUACAGAGAAUUCAAUUUGUGGGUAACUUCUCCUAUCGACAGUCGAUUGUCUGUGAAAUGCCUAUGAUGAGGAUCUCCUUUUGAAAAGGGAUUCGACUAAGAACAAAUUUAUCAAGUUCAUAAUCUAUAGUUUCAUGAUAUUGGCGUAAACAUGCAUCUUUUGUAAUGACUAUCUUAAGAUAUCAAUGAGAGCAUUGAAUUUGUGUU